AUUGAACGCUGGCGGCAUGCUUUACACAUGCAAGUCGAACGCAGCGCGGGCUUCGGCCUGGCGGCGAGUGGCGAACGGGUGAGUAAUGCAUCGGAACGUGCCCAGUAGUGGGGGAUAGCCCGGCGAAAGCCGGAUUAAUACCGCAUACGACCUGAGGGUGAAAGCGGGGGACCGAAAGGCCUCGCGCUAUUGGAGCGGCCGAUGUCGGAUUAGCUAGUUGGUGGGGUAAAGGCUUACCAAGGCGACGAUCCGUAGCUGGUCUGAGAGGACGACCAGCCACACUGGGACUGAGACACGGCCCAGACUCCUACGGGAGGCAGCAGUGGGGAAUUUUGGACAAUGGGGGCAACCCUGAUCCAGCCAUGCCGCGUGCGGGAAGAAGGCCUUCGGGUUGUAAACCGCUUUUGUUCGGGAAGAAAUCCUCUGGGCUAAUACCCCGGGGGGAUGACGGUACCGGAAGAAUAAGCACCGGCUAACUACGUG
This 483-nucleotide ribosomal RNA is filed under the name uncultured bacterium. RNAcentral's name for it is "partial 16S ribosomal RNA". It matches the Rfam family "Bacterial small subunit ribosomal RNA", at positions 28 to 507 of the family's 1533-position model. The record is from RNAcentral.